Molecule: non-coding RNA, 447 nt
Filed under: Xenopus tropicalis (tropical clawed frog)
Lineage: Eukaryota; Metazoa; Chordata; Amphibia; Anura; Pipidae
Description: Xenopus (Silurana) tropicalis (western clawed frog) Eukaryotic small subunit ribosomal RNA
Rfam family: Eukaryotic small subunit ribosomal RNA
Source: Rfam by way of RNAcentral
AGGUCACUCCCAGGAGUGGAGUCUUUGACUUAAUUUGACUAAACACAGGAAACCUUUCCAUGACUGGACAAUGAAGGGCUUUACAGAUGGCGCUUUCUCAGUGAUGUGGUUGGUGGUGCAUGGCUCCUCUUAGUUGGCGGCCUGGUUUGUCUGUGUAAGUUCUCUGUGCUAACUAGUGUGACCAGUGACAGCUGGUGUCCAACAUCUUAGAGGGACAAGUGGCAUUCAGUCACAUGAGAUUGAGCACUAACAGUUCUGUGAUGUCCUUGCAUAUCUGGCGCUGUGUUUGCUACACGUAAGAGCCCAGUGUGUUUGUUAACCCAUGCCCACAGGCAAAGGGUACCCUGCUGGACCCUCUUAUAGUGAUAGUAAUGGGAUUGUAAUUAUUUCCCAUGGAUGAGGAAAUCCCAGUCUGUGUCAUAACAGACGUCAAGAUCUCCCUGCUCU